Molecule: ribosomal RNA, 308 nt
Filed under: uncultured bacterium
Lineage: Bacteria
Description: partial 16S ribosomal RNA
Rfam family: Bacterial small subunit ribosomal RNA
Source: RNAcentral
GAGACAGCAGUAGCCACGGGAAUACAGAGGGUGCGAGCGUUAAUCGGAUUUACUGGGCGUAAAGCGUGCGUAGGCGGCUUUUUAAGUCGGAUGUGAAAUCCCUGAGCUUAACUUAGGAAUUGCAUUCGAUACUGGGAAGCUAGAGUAUGGGAGAGGAUGGUAGAAUUCCAGGUGUAGCGGUGAAAUGCGUAGAGAUCUGGAGGAAUACCGAUGGCGAAGGCAGCCAUCUGGCCUAAUACUGACGCUGAGGUACGAAAGCAUGGGGAGCAAACAGGAUUAGAUACCCGGGUAGUCCCUGUCUCUUAUAC